UACGUAGGGUGCGGGCGUUAAUCGGAAUUACUGGGCGUAAAGCGUGCGCAGGCGGUUCGUUAAGUCAGCUGUGAAAGCCCCGGGCUCAACCUGGGAACGGCGGUUGAAACUGGCGAACUAGAAUCUGGCAGAGGGGGGUGGAAUUCCACGUGUAGCAGUGAAAUGCGUAGAGAUGUGGAGGAACACCGACGGCGUAGGCAGCGCCCUGGCUGUGAAUAAAGCUGACACUGAGGCACGAAAGCUGGGGGAGCAAACAGG
Molecule: ribosomal RNA, 258 nt
Filed under: uncultured bacterium
Lineage: Bacteria
Description: partial 16S ribosomal RNA
Rfam family: Bacterial small subunit ribosomal RNA
Source: RNAcentral